AUUGGAGUUAAAUUUUUGCAAUCGGGGUGGAAAAUUUAUAAACAGUAAUAACUUUUUGUUCAAAUUGUCAGAUCGUUGGCACUAACCAUUAAUCCCAAAAACUCGAGCCGUUAGAAAUACGCAACCAAUUCACUUAAAGUGUACAGAUACAGCACUCACGGAUCUCGAUUCUGACUCGGCUCACCGAGUCUCACGCCAUUUCGAACAUGACUCGUCCCAACAUAUAUGACCUCCCGCCACAGGGCAGGAUGCUGGCCAAUUUAAGCCAACAUGAAUGUCCAUUUUCAUCAUGUACUAAAUCCAAUUCAAAAAUACUUUUCAAGAUCUAUACGUUGAACUGUAAGGCUAUUACGGCCGAGUUUGAUACCCAAAUUCAAAUGUUUCGGCCUUCAUUUUUGCAUUUUUAAGUUAUAUUUUUCAAAAGCUUUGUAUUAUUUU
This 438-nucleotide long non-coding RNA is filed under the name Ananas comosus (pineapple). RNAcentral's name for it is "long non-coding RNA (ACOM_LNC044865)". The record is from RNAcentral. Lineage: Eukaryota; Viridiplantae; Streptophyta; Magnoliopsida; Poales; Bromeliaceae.